AACGUAGGAGGCGAGCGUUAUCCGGAUUUACUGGGCGUAAAGCGCACGCAGGCGGCGAGGUGAGUCGGACGUGAAAGCUCCUGGCUUAACUGGGAGAGGUCGUUCGAUACUGUCUGGCUUGAGGUAGGGAGAGGGGUGCGGAAUUCCCGGUGUAGUGGUGGAAUGCGUAGAUAUCGGGAGGAACACCAGUGGCGAAAGCGGCACCCUGGCCCACACCUGACGCUGAGGUGCGAAAGCGUGGGUAGCAAACAGG
This 253-nucleotide unclassified non-coding RNA is filed under the name uncultured Anaerolineae bacterium. RNAcentral describes it as "contains 16S-23S intergenic spacer region". It matches the Rfam family "Bacterial small subunit ribosomal RNA", at positions 524 to 776 of the family's 1533-position model. The record is from RNAcentral. Lineage: Bacteria; Bacillati; Chloroflexota; Anaerolineae.